This 465-nucleotide ribosomal RNA is filed under the name uncultured bacterium. RNAcentral's name for it is "partial 16S ribosomal RNA". It matches the Rfam family "Bacterial small subunit ribosomal RNA", at positions 28 to 507 of the family's 1533-position model. The record is from RNAcentral.
GACGAACGCUGGCGGCGUGCUUAACACAUGCAAGUCGAACGGAAAGGCCCUGCUUGCAGGGUACUCGAGUGGCGAACGGGUGAGUAACACGUGGGUGAUCUGCCCUGCACUUCGGGAUAAGCCUGGGAAACUGGGUCUAAUACCGGAUAGGAGCCAUUUUUAGUGUGAUGGUUGGAAAGUUUUUUCGGUGUAGGAUGAUCUCGCGGCCUAUCAGCUUGUUGGUGGGGUAAUGGCCUACCAAGGCGGCGACGGGUAGCCGGCCUGAGAGGGUGGACGGCCACAUUGGGACUGAGAUACGGCCCAGACUCCUACGGGAGGCAGCAGUGGGGAAUAUUGCACAAUGGGCGCAAGCCUGAUGCAGCGACGCCGCGUGGGGGAUGACGGCCUUCGGGUUGUAAACUCCUUUCGCUAGGGACGAAGCUUUUUGUGACGGUACCUAGAUAAGAAGCACCGGCUAACUACGUG